RNAcentral lists this ribosomal RNA (426 nucleotides) under uncultured bacterium. RNAcentral describes it as "partial 16S ribosomal RNA". It matches the Rfam family "Bacterial small subunit ribosomal RNA", at positions 354 to 796 of the family's 1533-position model. The record is from RNAcentral.
GUGAGGAAUUUUCCGCAAUGGGCGAAAGCCUGACGGAGCAAUGCCGCGUGAAGGAUGAAGGCCUAUGGGUUGUAAACUUCUUUUCUCAGAAAAGAAUUAUGACGGUAUCUGAGGAAUAAGCAUCGGCUAACUCUGUGCCAGCAGCCGCGGUAAGACAGAGGAUGCAAGCGUUAUCCGGAAUGAUUGGGCGUAAAGCGUCUGUAGGUUGUUUAAAAAGUAUUCUGUCAAAGAUUAGGGCUUAACCCUAGAUAGGCAGAAUAAACUUUUAAGCUAGAGUUUGGUAGAGGCAGAGGGAAUUCCCGGUGGAACGGUGAAAUGCGUAGAUAUCGGGAGGAACACCAAAGGCGAAGGCACUCUGCUGGGCCAAUACUAACACUGAGAGACGAAAGCGAGGGGAGCAAAUGGGAUUAGAUACCCCGGUAGUCC